CCGACGAUAGCUCAGUUGGUAGAGCGGAGGACUGUAGUGGAGCCUGCUGGUAUCCUUAGGUCGGUGGUUCAAAUCCGCCUCGUCGGA
Molecule: transfer RNA, 87 nt
Filed under: Branchiostoma floridae (Florida lancelet)
Lineage: Eukaryota; Metazoa; Chordata; Leptocardii; Amphioxiformes; Branchiostomatidae
Rfam family: tRNA
About the family: Transfer RNA (tRNA) molecules are approximately 80 nucleotides in length.
Source: Rfam by way of RNAcentral